CCGAGUGAGGGUCCUCUCGGGCCCGACCUCCCAACCCUAUGUUUACUGAACCUCUGUUGCUUCGGCGGACCCGCCUCACGGCCGCCGGAGGAUUGUCGUAAAUCCUCUGGCCCGCGUCCGCCGAUGGCCACCCUUUAAAACUCUGUAUGAAUCGUGUCAUGAUGUCUAAGUACAAUGUUAAAUUAAAAGCA
RNAcentral lists this unclassified non-coding RNA (191 nucleotides) under uncultured fungus. RNAcentral describes it as "sequence contains ITS1, 5.8S rRNA gene". The record is from RNAcentral. Lineage: Eukaryota; Fungi.